Molecule: long non-coding RNA, 1402 nt
Organism: Gasterosteus aculeatus aculeatus (three-spined stickleback)
Lineage: Eukaryota; Metazoa; Chordata; Actinopteri; Perciformes; Gasterosteidae
Source: Ensembl
UACCCCGGACGUUUCCAGUGUCCCGGAGCCGACUACCCCGGACGUUUCCAGUGUCCCGGAGCCGACUACCCCGGACGUUUCCAGUGUCCCGGAGCCGACUACCCCGGACGUUUCCCGUGUCCCCGAGCCGCCGACGACUGCGGAGGUUUCCCGUGUCCCCGAGCCUGCCAUGCCAGAGACGUUCCGGAGCUGGCCAAAUGACCAUCCGCCGGGCCGACCACCGGAGGCUCCCCGGCAGUGUGCCUAUCCGCCAGGCCGACCCCCAGAGGCUCCCCGGUCGCCUGGCCGCCCGCCGGGCCGCCCGCCAGAGUUUCCCGGGUGGUCCGAACAACGUCUCGGGUUUCCCUCCCCCCCACCCCUUGUUUUGCUCUAGUGUGAGCCGCCUGGAAGUCGGCCCUUGAGGGGGGGGUACUGUCACGGUGUGGUUUCACUUCCUGUCUUAUUUUGUAGUUUUCUGCCACUCGUGUCCCCGGGUAACUUCACUUCCUGCCUUGUCUCGUCAUCCCCUGUGUUCGUCUAAUAGUUUCCACCUGUGUCCAAUCACCUGCACCUCCCUUGUGUAUUUAAGCCAUGUGUCUCUUGUGUCACUUGUCGCGUCAUUGUCUUUCGUCUUGGAUCGUCGUAGUCUCUUGCCUGUGUGCGUUUGCCCCCAGUUCCGGUGUUUUUUGAUCCUUGUGACUAUUAAAGUCUUUUGUUUGCCGCAAGUCUGCGUUUGAGUCCUGCCUUCCAACGCCACACCCUGACACCGGGUGUUUAGUUCACAAACGUCUUAUGAACUUGAACUUUGUGUUUUCUGGCAGGAGAUGCGCACACCGAACCCAAGUGCGCACGAGCACAAGUACGGCGUCUCAUAACGUGCGUACCGAGCGCCAGCAUGAUCAUACUCAUACUCAUACACAUACUAAAUGUCCCUGUGCAUUCAUUACAUGGAACGCUCUAAUCAUACACCAAAGUACAUUUGACUCUAAUGAAAGGGAGUUUUUUGCUCAUAUGAAUACGCAUCUGAAGAGAACACACACCUCACACAUUAGCAGAUGUUUUAUUGUGAGAGCUGCAGUAGCAUCUGCACCGUAGCCGCUUGACAGCAACCUUGGUGAAGUUGGAGUUUAGUCCACGUGCCAGGCUGACAGCUAUAGACACUAAUGAACUUUACUACUUGAUAAACUCAGCAUCCGUCACACUAUCUAGAGGUGUUGUGACUGAUAUCCUUAAGCCGACAAGUUGAUGACUCUUUAGUGACAGAAAUCCGCCCAGCAGUGAGCUCAUCGACGGUGGCGCAUGGUUACAGAGGGCGUGCCGGGACCCGCAAGGGUGUCGGUUUGAGCCCCGGCUGCUCCAUGUCCCAUGUUGAGGUCUCCCUGAGAAAGACACCUGACCCCUAAUGGCUCCCCAGGCAUUAAUG